This 494-nucleotide ribosomal RNA is filed under the name uncultured bacterium. RNAcentral describes it as "bacterial SSU rRNA". It matches the Rfam family "Bacterial small subunit ribosomal RNA", at positions 28 to 526 of the family's 1533-position model. The record is from RNAcentral.
GAUGAACGCUAGAGGGAGGCCUAAUACAUGCAAGUCGAGCGGUAAGUUUCUUCGGAAACCUAGAGCGGCGCACGGGUGAGUAACGCGUACAUGACCUACCUUUAAGACUGGGAUAGCCCUGGGAAAAUGGGAUUAAUACCGGAAGUGAUAAUACGUAUAAAGAUGUAUUAUUAAAGCUGAGGCGCUUAGAGAUGGGUGUGAUGCUGAUUAGCUCGUUGGUAGGGUAACGGCCUACCAAGGCGACGAUCAGUAGGGGGCGUGAGAGCGUGGCCCCCCACACGGGUACUGAGACACGGACCCGACUCCUACGGGAGGCAGCAGUAAGGAAUAUUGGUCAAUGGAGGAAACUCUAACCAGCCAUCCCGCGUGCAGGAUUAAGGUCCUAUGGAUUGUAAACUGCUUUUGGUAGGGAAGAAACGCCUUCAUUUAUGAGGGUCUGACGGUACCUACAGAAUAAGCACCGGCUAACUCCGUGCCAGCCGCCGCGGUAAUAC